CCAGACUCCUACGGGAGGCAGCAGUGGGGAAUAUUGGACAAUGGGGGGAACCCUGAUCCAGCGACGCCGCGUGAGUGAAGAAGUAUUUCGGUAUGUAAAGCCCUAUCAGCAGGGAAGAAAGAAAUGACGGUACCUGAAUAAGAAGCACCGGCUAAAUACGUGCCAGCAGCCGCGGUAAUACGUAGGGGGCAAGCGUUAUCCGGAUUUACUGGGUGUAAGGGAGCGUAGACGGCUGUGCAAGUCAGAAGUGAAAGCCCGGGGCUCAACCGCGGGACUGCUUUUGAAACUGUGUAGCUGGAGUGCAGGAGAGGUAAGUGGAAUUCCUAGUGUAGCGGUGAAAUGCGUAGAUAUUAGGAGGAACACCGGUGGCGAAGGCGGCUUACUGGACUGUAACUGACGUUGAGGCUCGAAAGCGUGGGGAGCAAACAGGAUUAGAUACCCCGGUA
RNAcentral lists this ribosomal RNA (446 nucleotides) under uncultured bacterium. Its description in RNAcentral is "partial 16S ribosomal RNA". It matches the Rfam family "Bacterial small subunit ribosomal RNA", at positions 331 to 792 of the family's 1533-position model. The record is from RNAcentral.